RNAcentral lists this long non-coding RNA (1257 nucleotides) under Delphinapterus leucas (beluga whale). RNAcentral describes it as "lncRNA (ENSDLEG00000007286.1)". Lineage: Eukaryota; Metazoa; Chordata; Mammalia; Artiodactyla; Monodontidae. The record is from RNAcentral.
AUGUCAGCUUCGCUCGCGCUCGCUCCUCCCGCACCCACCUCCCCGGCCCGAGGCACACUGCAGCUCGGCGCCGACUCUCCGGCCCCGGCGAGGUGGCUGCAAACUCUCGGGCACGCACGGCGCUCGGGGAUCUGGACUCGGGGGAGGGGACGCGCACGGAAGGCGCCAGCUUCCUCCCGCCCGCCCCUCGCAGCCGCGAGCCGAGGUCGGAGGAACCCGGAGCCCCAGCCCGGCAGAGCUGAGCGGCGGCGGCGGCUUCCCUUUUCUCCCCCAGCGAGCCCUGAAGCGCCUCGGGGACCGGCCCUAAAAAGAGCAGGAAAUCUUGUUUACCGCCCAAGGAGCACAGCCGAUCGAGCCUUUGUCUGGAAAGUCAGCAUCUCUGGCUCCGUCAGCAAUGUGUGCCUGGUGACAUUAGCCUUGGGCAGACCGGCCGGAAAAGGGGGGUCGCCAGGUUCAGAUCUGGUUUCAGAGGCGGAUCGAGCGGGUGACUUUUGUGCAUUCGUUUUAAUUUUUGGAAAUCUCUCUUAUUUUUCCUCCCUCGCCCGCUGCCGGGCAUGUCCUGAUCUGGCGCCCGCUACUACUGCCCCGGGCUGCCGAUCAGAGCGGUUUCCAGUGGGUCUCCCUCCCUCCCUGGCUGACUUUGCAACACCGCGUUCCAGGCGGAUCGACCUCGGCGUCGGCGAGGAAGGAGGCGGGGGAGCCGCGAACACCAGGACCCAAGCCUUGACAUGCUCUCGGGCGGAGAGGAGGAAGCCAGGACCUGAGCGCACCGCCGGGGCUAAUUCGCCGCCCGGGUCCGAGCACGGGGCUCCGGGCGCUUUGCCCUGCGCCUGGGCGGCAGUCUUGUUGGUCUGGGGGAGCCCCCCUCUUCCCGCCUCGGGGGUCCGCGGCCGGCAGGACCAUGCUGCUGAAGGAGUACCGGAUCUGCAUGCCGCUCACCGUAGCCGAGGUAAGCGCCGCGCCGGGCCCGGCCUCGCCCACUCCCCGUCCCCGGCUCCGGGGCGCCGCGCCUCCCGGCCGGCGAGUCCACUGCGGGCGGCGGGGAAACCCUGGUGGAAAACUGCCUUCCAAACCGGGAGGCUGGAGGGGGAGGAGGAAGUGGAAUUACUGCUUCCACUUGUCACCCCAGCAAGGAGGGCGGCGUUGGGUGGGGCGGUGGACUGCAGGUGGGUUUUGGGGGGGGGAGGCUCCCAGAAUCCAGAUUGCUGGGGAUCAGAAUGCGCCAAAGGGGUUUGGUCGCCCCCUCCUUCCAAUUAA